RNAcentral lists this transfer RNA (90 nucleotides) under Alphaproteobacteria bacterium. Its description in RNAcentral is "tRNA-Ser". It matches the Rfam family "tRNA". From Rfam's summary of the family: Transfer RNA (tRNA) molecules are approximately 80 nucleotides in length. Their secondary structure includes four short double-helical elements and three loops (D, anti-codon, and T loops). The record is from RNAcentral. Lineage: Bacteria; Pseudomonadati; Pseudomonadota; Alphaproteobacteria.
GGACGGGUGGCCGAGUGGUUGAAGGCGCACGCCUGGAACGCGUGUAUACGGGAAACCGUAUCGAGGGUUCGAAUCCCUCUCCGUCCGCCA